GCUUUCCCCGUUACAGGCUCACCUACACGCCCCUCUACAGCCCUCUUAAACUAUCCGACACCCUUUUCGUGUGCACCCCGCCACCCCCACCCCCAGCGCCCGCGCACGCUUGACUCGACUCGCUUAUCCCCAUAGUCGCGCUCUACCCAUUCCUUCACUACCCCCUCCCCCUCUAAACACUUAUCUCCCCCGCUUGUAAACCAUGGGAGCCUACUGCACGAAGGACUCCGCAAAGGAGCCCCAGAAGCGUGCUGAUAACAUCCAUAAAACCACUGAGGCCAAUCACAGAGGCGCCGCCGGUGUGCCCCCGAAGCACGCCGGCGGUGCGAUGAACGACUCUGCCCCGAAGGAGGAUGGCCAUACACAGAAAAAUGACGGCGAUGGCCCUAAGGAGGAUGACCAUACACAGAAAAAUGACGGCGAUGGCCCUAAGGAGGAUGACCAUGCGCACAACGACGGCGGUGGCCCUAAGGAGGAUGAGAAUCUGCAGCAAAACGAUGGGGAUGCGCAGGAGAAGAACGAAGAUGGACACAACGUGGGGGAUGGAGCUAACGACAAUGAGGAUGGUAACGAUGAUCAGCCGAAGGAGCAGGUUGCCGGCAACUAGUGCACUGCGUCCGGGCUUGUGUGCGAGCCGUGCUCUGCACCCCGCCGUUCGUGCAUCCUCGCAUGUGAACCGCGUGUGUGUCUCCCGCUUUAUCUCUCUUCCCCGCACAGUGGCUGAUGCCUGCACGGGGUCGCUGUGGCUGCACCUGCUGACCACUGCCAGCGUUCUCGGCUCGCCCUCCUCUCUCCGCCUCCGAGUGUGCGGUACGGGCUGGCCUGGGCGCGCUGCGGAUGUCGUCGGUGCGUGCGGGGUCAUCGCCGAGAGUUUGGCACCUGGGCUGCUGCUACGCAACUGUGGCCAGGCCAGGCCCUGCCUCUGUGUGUGCUGUGAUCGCCGGCUCUAGCUUCACGCUCGCUGCCCCUGCGUGGACGGUCUUUGUUUCUUGUUUCUUUUCGAUUGCCUCUGCACACGCGCAUAUCCUCCUCCCUGCCCACCCCUCCACCUCUACCUUCAUGUGUGCCGGAGCGAGCACUUCUCCUACUAGCUUAUUGCGCUGCCACUGCCGCCCCCUCUAGUGCGUCUCUCUCCCCUCGCAUCUUUUCCCUCGCUUUCUGCUCACUGCUCUGCAUGGUGUUUGUUCGGCUGUACUUGUACUACACGCAUGCGUGUAGUACGAAGAAAAGGGCUGCUCGGGUUGUCUCUCCGCGUGUUUGUGUUUUUGUUGCCGUGUGGGCGAUAUAUCCGGCUUCGACACGAUGCACGCCCGCCCUUCCCCAUUUGAAGGACGCUCUCUUUCCUCCGUCACUGCGCCUCUCUCCUUGCUUAUGAUCUCGCUCUGUGUUUCCUGUCUUUCAAGUGAGUCUCUUCUUGGGCUCUCCCCCUUCUUUCCUUGUCCUUUGCGCAUGUUUGUCGCUCCCUUCCGUUUUGCUAUUUUGAAGGCAGCGAGCGGCGGCCGCGGCAUGCUGAGAUGAGGUGCGGCGUGUGUCUGUCUGUGCGCCUCUCUCUUCCCGUGUCUGUCGGUCCCCCACGGCUGCCCUCGUCUCCGCACACGAGUCUGCCGUGGCGGGAGUGCUGUACUGCGCCGUAG
RNAcentral lists this unclassified non-coding RNA (1634 nucleotides) under Leishmania donovani. RNAcentral's name for it is "gene:LdHU3.23.1640(CDS-product:hydrophilic_acylat ed_surface_protein_b)". Lineage: Eukaryota; Euglenozoa; Kinetoplastea; Trypanosomatida; Trypanosomatidae. The record is from RNAcentral.